RNAcentral lists this unclassified non-coding RNA (432 nucleotides) under Hevea brasiliensis (rubber tree). The record is from RNAcentral. Lineage: Eukaryota; Viridiplantae; Streptophyta; Magnoliopsida; Malpighiales; Euphorbiaceae.
UUAAAAAAAAAAAGGAACUUUUUGAAGAAUUUAAUUGAAUUAGGUGCGAAAAGUAUUAUUGGGUUUUCAAUCGCCAUGCUGUGAGUUAAUUUCCUUGCUGGUGGGAUGUUAGGGCAAUUGAAGUUUCUUAACUAUUCAAUUCCAAUUUCAUGUGCAUUUAUUGGAGAAUUAAACGGAGCUUAAUGUUAGUUUUGGAAAUUAUAGAACUGGAAUGGGAAUGAAAAUGGAUGUCACGAAGCUACUAUCUGGAAUUCUGGAUUUGUUUUUCCCAAUUAUGAAGCUUCUGCAAAUAUUUUGUUUUACAUAAUUCCCAGAUUUUGCUUCUCUUAUUAUCUUCAUACUUGUCUCUAUCUAAUUUUUAUAUUGUAGUUGCAUCACUGCGAAAAGAAGGGUCCAAUUCAAACUAAUUUUUGCAGGAAAAGAUCAUGAGAG